AAGGGAGACCUAAUUCAGGUAUGGGACGAAAAAAAAGUAGUCGCUACCAAGAAUCAAUCCCAAAAGGUCGGAGCGAGGUAUGAGGCUUUCAAACUAGGUUCUGGGUUCAAACAAGACCUGAAUCAGGAACAAGGGCUAUUAGCUCAGGUGGUUAGAGCGCACCCCUGAUAAGGGUGAGGUCCCUGGUUCGAGUCCAGGAUGGCCCACCUGCACAGGUGGCAAAAACAAGAGAAGCGAGGAAUCAGCACCUUAUCUUAUCUAUAUAUAAGAGAGAAUGCUGGCUCUGAGUAAAGAGUCCAGAGGAACCUUGAAAACUGCAUAGAGCUAGGUGAAAAAGCCAAAAAAGAAGACCGCAA
RNAcentral lists this transfer RNA (356 nucleotides) under Microcystis aeruginosa. RNAcentral describes it as "16S-23S ribosomal RNA intergenic spacer". The stretch from base 133 to 206 matches the Rfam family "tRNA". RNAcentral also lists the same sequence under 1 other name. The record is from RNAcentral. Lineage: Bacteria; Bacillati; Cyanobacteriota; Cyanophyceae; Chroococcales; Microcystaceae.